GAGGGUAUAGCUCAGUAGUAGAGUGCAGUGCUUAGCGUGCACAAGGUCCUGGGUUCAAUCCCUGGUACCUCCA
This is a transfer RNA of Camelus ferus (Wild Bactrian camel), 73 nucleotides long. It matches the Rfam family "tRNA". From Rfam's summary of the family: Transfer RNA (tRNA) molecules are approximately 80 nucleotides in length. The record is from Rfam. NCBI's taxonomy places the organism in Eukaryota, Metazoa, Chordata, Mammalia, Artiodactyla, Camelidae.